RNAcentral lists this ribosomal RNA (512 nucleotides) under uncultured bacterium. RNAcentral describes it as "partial 16S ribosomal RNA". It matches the Rfam family "Bacterial small subunit ribosomal RNA", at positions 28 to 523 of the family's 1533-position model. The record is from RNAcentral.
GACGAACGCUGGCGGCGUGCUUAACACAUGCAAGUCGAACGGAGAUUCAGCAAUGGAUCUUAGUGGCGAACGGGUGAGUAACGCGUAGGCAAUCUGCCUUCUAGAUGGGGACAACAUCCCGAAAGGGGUGCUAAUACCGAAUGUUGUAGUUGGUUCGCAUGGACUAGCUACUAAAGGUGGCCUCUGAAUAUGCUACCGCUAGAAGAUGAGCCUGCGUCUGAUUAGCUAGUUGGAGGGGUAACGGCCCACCAAGGCUUCGAUCAGUAGCCGGUCUGAGAGGAUGAACGGACACACUGGGACUGAGACACGGCCCAGACUCCUACGGGAGGCAGCAGUUGGGAAUCUUCCGCAAUGGACGAAAGUCUGACGGAGCAACGCCGCGUGAGUGAAGAAGGUUUUCGGAUCGUAAAGCUCUUUCGUUAGGGACGAACGUGCUCUUUGUGAAUAAUGAGGAGUAAUGACGGUACCUAAAUAAGAAGCCACGGCUAACUACGUGCCAGCCGCCGCUGUAA